Pelobates cultripes (western spadefoot toad) is the source of this 2270-nucleotide non-coding RNA. The record is from the annotation of a GenBank genome assembly. NCBI's taxonomy places the organism in Eukaryota, Metazoa, Chordata, Amphibia, Anura, Pelobatidae.
UAUAGAUAUAAAAUCGGAGCUUGUGGGGAAAUAACACUAAAACAAAAAGCUAUUAUAUAGUAGAAAAUCAUGGGGGGAUUGCACAGGAUUUUGCAAACCUGUCUCUUAAUGGUGUCAGGGAACAGCAUGCCAGGAAGGUUCUAGCCAACUGAAUGGUUAUAAGGUCAUGGUGGUUUGAGUUGCCCUGUCAAAAUUAAGAGGAAGUGAGUUAAAUGCUUAGCCUCAUGACCCCAGAGUAAAGUAAUAUUUCAGUAGGCCACAAAACACAGAGGGACAUGAUGCUCAUAUAAAAUAUUACCAGAUGUCAGUGAAGACAAUGGAAGUAUUGGUGACCUCCGCCUUGCUUAUGGUAGUCUCAGGGGCCUUCACAUUCAGAUCCCAAAGUAAACACAACUAUUGAAGAUGAAUCAGUAAAUGUGCACUGAUUCCAUUUAGUGUUAAAACAUAUUCAAGCAGAUUAAUACUGAGCGAGGGUCCCUGGACAACCACAGCCCAGCACCCACUGAGAGAUUACACACAUACGUCUAAUUCAAGUCAUACCAGUAAUGGGCACUGUGAUAGGCUGAAAGCAGUCAACUGACACUCUCAGCCAAUCACUGCCACCGAUUACUUCAUAGAUUAAUGCUUCCUCAUUAGAACGAGCAGCACACAUGGGUGGGCUGAUGGGGAUUCUUAUUUAGCAGUAAAACACUGAAAAAGGUUUAAUUCUGAAUGAAAGGACAGCGCCAGGGGACUCAAAACACUGUAAUCACUUCAACGAGAUAAAUCGGUUCCAGUGUCUACAGUGUCCCUUUAAUGAAUUUUCCUACCUGCAUCCUUUACUGCUUAUGUAAUCUGUUGUUAAAGCUGCAUCCUGUCCCUUGUGCUUUCCCUUUUAUUUCCAGGGAAGGUUUCUGGUGCUGUGCAUGUGGCCAGACAUCACAUCUGUGUGCAGCUGUUGUAUCACUUGUGGGACUAAAUAUGAUGGAAGUAUAUGUGCAAGCAGAUGUAAACCUUGGGGAAAUAAUUUAAACCAUCACAUUAGAGAUGUAGUGUGUAAUUCUAAGACAUGAAGCAAGGAAGUGAUUCAUUGGGAGUGAUUGUUAAGCAGAAAAUAGUAAAAGAAGGGGGUUACUUCUCUAUAAGCAUUGCUCAGAAACUCCUGCUUCUGUAUUACACCUAUUGUGUUCAGUGUUACCCAAUCCCCAUAAUAAAUGAUGAUACAUGUACCUUAAUGCCAUACAAUUAUUGCCUUAGUCUACAGGAUUGACACCAAAUACAAUCCUUGUAUUGUAAAAUAUUAUUUUUUUAAAUGCACACAACUGAAAAAUAUUAUAUGGCUCUUAUGAGAUGAACAUUAUUUUGUCAGCAUAAAUAAAUCACUAGGAUUGACAGUUUUUCCUGUAGUUUCUCCAUUUUAUUUUAGUUUGUAUUGUAUUUUGUCAUGUUGCUUCCUUACCUAUUUCCUUUCACUACAGAAGUCCCGGGUAAUCAAUCUGACUGUAUUUGACAGGACGCCAGUUCUCUCUCCCCAUGCUAAAUGUUCCCAUGUCCUGUACUUGCAAAACACACAGUAUCCCUUGCUAUGUUACAACAUCAUAAAAUCUAGUGGGGCCUAGAAAGGGGCAAUUCAAUUAGACAAACAUACAUGUUGAUAGACAUGAUUGUUCUGCUCCAUUUCAGUGCUUGCUAUGAGAAUCUUUCAAACCAUUUUUUCUCGUCAUCACAGAGAAGUGGGCACUGUCUGAAUAUUCAACUGUGGCUUUAAAAAAAAGGGGGGGAUUUUUUUGGUCCCUACUGUACCCUGGAACCAAAGACAUGUUCUACGUGUUCUUAGUCUUAUUUAAAAUGCAUAUUGCUAUAUUGUAUUUGUUUUGUGUCUGCAUGACAUCCCAUUUACUUCUCUACUGACUAGUUGUUAAUGUCAAUAAUUUGACAUUUCUUUUUACAAGUUUCAUAUGCUUCAGGAAAUGGUUUAAUUCAAGCAGCUAAAUAUGCACACUUGCCCUGGCAUCUAAUGGGACCUCUCUUCCAUGCAUCAUUUUACCUGAAUGUUCUGUAAUAAAGAAUCAUGGAACAUCAGAAAUGGAGUGUGCUCUUCCUAUCGGAAAGGUCAACCUAGUUUCCUUUACCGGAUGAAAAGGCACAGUUUGUCUUAUGCACCAGGUGGUGUGUUCUUCAGAAAAAUGUGUAGAUAUGUUCCACAUGUGUCUGUCGUAUAAUGGAAUGUGGAGAAGAAUGUUUUGCUAUUCCAGCAGCCUCUCAUGCAUUAUUUAUUAAAUAUCCUUGUG